UACGUAGGGUGCAAGCGUUGUUCGGAAUUACUGGGCGUAAAGCGUACGUAGGCGGCUUUGUAAGUUAGAGGUGAAAGCCCGGGGCUCAACUCCGGAAUUGCCUUUAAGACUGCAUCGCUUGAAUCAUGGAGAGGUUAGUGGAAUUCCGAGUGUAGAGGUGAAAUUCGUAGAUAUUCGGAAGAACACCAGUGGCGAAGGCGACUAACUGGACAUGUAUUGACGCUGAGGUACGAAAGCGUGGGGAGCAAACAGG
RNAcentral lists this ribosomal RNA (253 nucleotides) under uncultured bacterium. RNAcentral's name for it is "partial 16S ribosomal RNA". It matches the Rfam family "Bacterial small subunit ribosomal RNA", at positions 524 to 776 of the family's 1533-position model. The record is from RNAcentral.